UUAGCUCCUUUCCAAAGAACCAUGAGUUCCCACAUCAGCCAGAAUUACUGCACCGAAGUAGAAGCUGCCGUCAGCAGCCCAGUCAACCGGCAGCUGCGGGCUUGCCUUACCUACCUCUCUCUCAUCCUCCAUUUCCACCGCGACGACGUGGCCCUGGAGGGCAUGGGCCACUUCUUCCGAGAGAUGGCCCAGGAGAAGCGACAGGGCGCCCAGAGUCUGUGGAAGACGCAAAACCAGCGCGGAGCCCUCUGCGAUGCCAUCCAGAAGCCGUCCUAGGAUGAAUAGGACAGCAGUUUGGGCGCCCUGCGAGCCGCGUUGGCCCUGGAGAUGAACCUGAACCAGGCCCUGCUGGAUCUGCACGACCUGGGCGCAAAGCAUGCAGACUCUCACCUCUGUGGCUUCCUGGAAAACCACUUCCUAGGCCGCGAACGGAAACUCAUCCCGACCAGACUCAGCAGGCUGGAGGGGCCCAACCCGCGCUGGGCAGGCCUCUUCCUCCAGCGCAGCAAGGAGCCUGCGGGCCCCCAGGGGCCUUCAAGAGGCCCGCCGGCCACAUCCCUCUGUCAGACCUGGGGCGGCGUCCACCCGAGCUGCUCCCUUCAGCCUCAAGAUACUUUUUCUUUCUUUCUUUCUUUUUGAAAGAGUCUCCCGGCCUGGAGUGUAGUGGUGAUCUCAGCUCACUGCAACCUCCGCCUCCCCGGUUCAAGUGAUUCUCCUGCCUCAGCCUCCCGAGUAGCUGAGAUUACUGGCGCAAGCCACCACCCCUGGCUAAUUUUUGUAUUUUUAAUAGAGACGGGGUUUCACCAUGUCAGCCAGGAUGGCCCCGAACUCCUGACCUCAAGUGAUCCGCCCGCCUCAGCCUCCCAAAGUGCUGGGAUUACAGACGUGAGCCACCGGGCCAGGCCCUCAAGAUAGUUUUUAACCACCCCGUGCCCUUCCCCAAGCUAUGGUCCAAGUAGAAGCAACCCUUCUUUUUACAGAAAAAGAAGUUAAAAAGAGAAAGAGGAAAACCCGCCCACGAAUUCUCAAAACAGCAAACAAAAACCAAAAAGAAAACUGUCAUUGAACAGUUUGCUUUUAAAUUUGUUUUAAUUAAAAUACAUUACACAUUUUCAGGGUGCAUAGAGACUUUUUCAAAAUAUGUUACAAAUAAGGAAUUUCCACAGAAACUUGUAACAACAGUAAAGAACUACUACUCUGCCUGGUCUCCGUUAGGGAGGUUCUCCAACCAAAUUGGUUUCCUUGGAACGUUUGAAACCCAGGCAGUUUGCAAAGUCAUAACUCCUUAUGCAUCAUUCCCUAAGAGAUUGUCUGAGAGUACUCAACAUCUGGAGAAAUUGAAAUAAAGAUUACAAUAAAAUGAAAUAAAUAAAAUGUAUUAUUUACCAACCUACUGCCAGAAAAUGAACCAGGAGACCAAUAGUUAUUCCAAAGAUUGCCAACACUCCAAACACAAGAAGGGCAAUCAUCCAUAGUGACACAGAUGUACGGAAAGCCAU
Long non-coding RNA from Pongo pygmaeus (Bornean orangutan), 1499 nucleotides. RefSeq lists it as uncharacterized. The transcript has 3 exons. The record is from RefSeq and is a predicted model, not a curated record. Lineage: Eukaryota; Metazoa; Chordata; Mammalia; Primates; Hominidae.